GCCUGGCUGGCUCAUUUGGUAGAGCAUGCAACUCUUGAUCUUUCAGGGUUGUGGGUUUGAGCCCCAUGCUGGGUG
This 75-nucleotide transfer RNA is filed under the name Canis lupus familiaris (dog). It matches the Rfam family "tRNA". From Rfam's summary of the family: Transfer RNA (tRNA) molecules are approximately 80 nucleotides in length. Their secondary structure includes four short double-helical elements and three loops (D, anti-codon, and T loops). RNAcentral also lists the same sequence under 1 other name. Lineage: Eukaryota; Metazoa; Chordata; Mammalia; Carnivora; Canidae. The record is from Rfam by way of RNAcentral.